AUUGACUUCCCAUGUGUAUCAAUUAUUCAGGCGAGAGUCUCUUUGAAUAAUUCAUCGCGAUUUCGAGCUUAUAAGUUCGGGCGAAGCCGCGAUCGUGGACUAACCCGUUUACCUUCGUCUUAGCAUGCCGAGCUUCGUGCUCCUUUCCUCUUUCCCCUGCCCACCCCUUCCGCCAUCCUCUUUCUCAUCUCUUUCCUCUCACAUUUUCAAGAAAGAAAAGAAACUACACAGCGCUCACCUGCGGUUCUCCAUUCUUUUCGAUCGACUACGUGUAUCGAGUGUCAACCGAAAGACGCUACGUGCUGUAGAAAGAGGAAAGAUCUGCACCCAACAGGAUUGGCAGACGAAAGCAAACGAAACGAGGUACCAACGACGAUAGAGAGAACUUCAAAACCAUCUUUUCUCUUUCUCUCUCUCUCACACACACACACACUCCCCGAUGAUCAUCAAAUUACAUUAUACGUACUUAUGCUACCACCCUUUCUCUCUUGGAUGCUAACGUGUAUACACCAAAGUCAAAUUAAAACAACUAUUUGAAAUUCCCGACACGAAGUUAGCUCGGGGCGUAGAAUAUCCGGUGGCGUUAAAGGUUUAUCGGAAGGAUUUAUUCUUCGAUUCCCUACGAAUUAAGAUUUAUUUAUUCUCGAUAUUUUUAAUAUUAAUUGGAAUAAAAGUUGUAGGUUGUUGUUUGGUAGGAUAAGGAACUAAACGACAGUGAAAAAUAAUAUGAAAGUACGAAGUCGCGAAGAGAAGACAAAAAAGAAUACAAAAUGAUCGAAUUAAGAUCGGUCUCGAAAGUUUUCUUCUUCCUAGGUAAUAUCUUGGAAAGAAAGAAAACGCAAAGAACUCUUCGGGCGGGAGGGAAUCUUCGAGACGAGGAAGAGGAGGAGAAGGUCGAAAGUUGGAGACAACGAACUUUCGCAAAAAGCGCAAGGAGACACAAAACACGCGCGAAGGCCUACGGUCUAUCAAGAAAGAUACUGCAGCUUCGAAAGGCCGCUGGCAUUGAAAAGGACAAGGGCGGAAUUCUUCUUGGCGAUAACAUGCCGAGGUGACGAGCUGAAGAAACAGAAGGAAAUGUAUAUGUUUGUGUGUGUGUGUCUAAGGAAA
This 1110-nucleotide long non-coding RNA is filed under the name Polistes fuscatus (common paper wasp). Its description in RNAcentral is "uncharacterized LOC122522411". Lineage: Eukaryota; Metazoa; Arthropoda; Insecta; Hymenoptera; Vespidae. The record is from RNAcentral.